This is a long non-coding RNA of Suricata suricatta (meerkat), 421 nucleotides long. RefSeq lists it as uncharacterized. NCBI's taxonomy places the organism in Eukaryota, Metazoa, Chordata, Mammalia, Carnivora, Herpestidae. The record is from RefSeq and is a predicted model, not a curated record. The transcript has 3 exons.
AGUUAUAGGCUGGAACGUGGGUACUAUCCGAGGAUAACAGAGCUCCUCACCACCUAACUAUUGACUUCAAAGGAGAGGUUUAAGGAAAGUCACCUACAGCCUGAGAAUGAAACAUAGACCCAGUUUUUCUCAGUGAUAACCUCUUUAAUACCUUCAGUUAUAUUCUCAAUAGCCAUUUCUUCAGAGCCCUGAGGCUGCAGGACUUAAAACCACCAUUUUACCUUUUGUUUGGCCACUUGAAACAUGAAAAUGAUCAUCUUGGAGGACAAGGAUUGAGGCCACCCUUGGCAAUGGAAGAGGAGGAAGCAGGGAGGUAACAUAUCCAGAGGAUUUCAUGAAGUAAAGCACCAAAGGAGCCCUGAACAACACACCUUUGGAUUUUUAUAAAGAGAGAAAUAAAUAAGCUUCUAUCUUGCUGAAA